GCAUAUCAAUAAGCGGAGGAAAAGAAACUAACAAGGAUUCCCCUAGUAACGGCGAGUGAAGCGGGAAGACCUCAAAUUUGAAAUCUGGUGGCCUCAGGUCAUCCGAGUUGUAAUCUAAAGAAGUGUUUUCCGUGCUGGCUCAUGUACAAGUCCCUGGGAACAGGGCGUCAUAGAGGGUGAGAAUCCCGUCCUUGACAUGAACUACCAGUGCUCUGUGAUACAUUUUCAACGAGUCGAGUUGUUUGGGAAUGCAGCUCAAAAUGGGUGGUAAAUUCCAUCUAAAGCUAAAUAUUGGCGAGAGACCGAUAGCGAACAAGUACCGUGAGGGAAAGAUGAAAAGCACUUUGGAAAGAGAGUUAAACAGUAUGUGAAAUUGUUGAAAGGGAAACGAUUGAAGUCAGUCGUGCUCUUUGGAUUCAGCCGGUUCUGCCGGUGUACUUCCUUUGAGUGGGGUCAACAUCAGUUUUGAUCGCUGGAUAAAGGCUGGAGGAACGUAGUACCCUCGGGUAAACUUAUAGCCUCCUGUCACAUACAGUGGUUGGGACUGAGGAACGCAGCACGCCUUUAUGGCCGGGAUUCGUCCACGUACGUGCUUAGGAUGUUGACAUAAUGGCUUUAAACGACCCGUCUUGAAACACGGACC
Molecule: ribosomal RNA, 643 nt
Filed under: uncultured fungus
Lineage: Eukaryota; Fungi
Description: eukaryotic LSU rRNA
Rfam family: Eukaryotic large subunit ribosomal RNA
Source: RNAcentral